UCUCCGCUUGCGCGGGCAGUUUCUCUAGAGUCCCCGGCAUUACCCGCUGGCAACUAGAAAUAGGGGUUGCGCUCGUUAUGGGACUUGACCCGACACCUCACAGCACGAGCUGACGACAGCCAUGCAGCACCUGUGUUCCCGCCAGCCGAACUGAAGGAUGCCGUCUCUGAGAUCCGCGACCCCCAUGUCAAGGGCUGGUAAGGUUCUUCGCGUUGCGUCGAAUUAAACCACAUGCUCCACCGCUUGUGCGGGCCCCCGUCAAUUCCUUUGAGUUUCGGUCUUGCGACCGUACUCCCCAGGCGGAGUGUUUCACGCGUUAGCUGGGCCCCUGAUCCACGUAGACCAAGGGCGAACACUCAUCGUUUACGGCAUGGACUAC
RNAcentral lists this unclassified non-coding RNA (379 nucleotides) under uncultured Pseudomonadota bacterium. Its description in RNAcentral is "uncultured proteobacterium contains 16S-23S intergenic spacer region". Lineage: Bacteria; Pseudomonadati; Pseudomonadota. The record is from RNAcentral.